GUUCAUGAGCAGUGUGCUUGUCGCCCCCUGCCGGCCGGCUGCUGCCCUGACCUGAAUUAUCCGCAUCUCCGUCAUGGUCCCCCAGAGCCACCAGGAAGAUCAAGGAGCCAGGGCCACCCUCACGUUGCCUAGGCAACAGCAUCCGUGAUCAGACUGUAAGGCAACUGGGACCCAUGCGUGCUCCCCGGGGGAGGCUGCAGGUUCACGUCGGUGUCCGGGUAUCUUACAGAAUGUUCUUAAUCUUCACGUGCUUCUUCUGAGAUCAGUGAUAAAGAAGACACGGAUACAGCAAGAAGGAAGGAGGCCCUGUGCACGACACUAAGAUGAGUGACGCCACAGCACGGACCUUUGCUCAAGAUCCGUCAGCAGGAAAUACCCCCCAAGUGCCGAGAGUGCUGGCAUGCAGCAGAGAAGGCUGUAAGUGACUGUGAGGUUUCCUUCAUUAUACUCAUCUGCAUUUUCCAAAUUUUGAAAAUGAGUAUAUAUUAAUUACACACUAAAAAA
This is a long non-coding RNA of Homo sapiens (human), 504 nucleotides long. The record is from Ensembl. Lineage: Eukaryota; Metazoa; Chordata; Mammalia; Primates; Hominidae.